Molecule: long non-coding RNA, 231 nt
Filed under: Paramuricea clavata
Lineage: Eukaryota; Metazoa; Cnidaria; Anthozoa; Malacalcyonacea; Plexauridae
Source: RNAcentral
GCUCCCUACAGUUAUUCUUGUUUACGCAAUAAUUCCGUAAAACAGGCUUAUUCGUGCAGAACGCGAAUUCUUUUUGACUUGGUGGCAAUAUUGGUCACCUAAGGAAUAUUUCAAACUAGAUUUCGACGAUGUCAAUGUUCCCAUGGCAACAUGACGACAGCAUAAAGCCUUCCAAUUUAACCCAUAAAUGUGCCGCUAUCUCAAAAACGAUGUCGGUGACCUAUCUUUUUU